AUACCUUUCUCGGCCUUUUGAUUAAGAUCAAGUGUAGUAUUUGUUCUUAUCAGUUUAAUAUCGGAUAUAUGGGUCAUUGGUUCACACAAUAUUAACUCAGUUUUUUAAGGGGAAAGGUGUGGGGUUCAGCCCCAUAAGUGUCAUUUAAAAUUAGCCCAUGAAUUUAGGAAGAUGUUUUGAUUCCUUG
Non-coding RNA from Capsicum annuum, 187 nucleotides. Lineage: Eukaryota; Viridiplantae; Streptophyta; Magnoliopsida; Solanales; Solanaceae. The record is from Rfam.